GAAAGCUGAAACUGGAUCCCUUCCUUACACCUUAUACAAAAAUUAAUUCAAGAUGGAUUAAAGACUUAAAUAUUAGACCUACAACCAUAAAAAGAUGUGAGUUAUAUUUUUGUUUAUGUAAUUUUUCUUUUAAAGAAUCCUCCAUUUUUUUGGUUAAUUAUCAGUUGUUUUCUGAUAUGUAGGUAAGAUUUGAUUUUUUAAAAAUCAUGCUUUGCUUUCUUCACAUUGUUCUCUUAAUUAUUUACAAUCAUUCAUUUGAUGGCUGUCUUCUCUACUAAAUUGUAGUAAUCUCCAUCUGGGCAGAGUCUAUGAGUGCUGUCUUCACCACCGGGCCCCCAGGGAAUUUUGACAUGGCACAGCAAGGAGGAGAGUGGCUAAUUUUCCAAAGUUAAGGGCAAGUUGGUUUCAAUAUAGUCACAUGGCCCUGGCUGGAGUUUGGAGAGCUAGGGCGACUCAGGAGGGCUAUAUGG
This 470-nucleotide long non-coding RNA is filed under the name Homo sapiens (human). Its description in RNAcentral is "non-protein coding lnc-BCL11A-8:2". The record is from RNAcentral. Lineage: Eukaryota; Metazoa; Chordata; Mammalia; Primates; Hominidae.